RNAcentral lists this long non-coding RNA (3327 nucleotides) under Octopus sinensis (East Asian common octopus). RNAcentral describes it as "uncharacterized LOC115218230, transcript variant X2". Lineage: Eukaryota; Metazoa; Mollusca; Cephalopoda; Octopoda; Octopodidae. The record is from RNAcentral.
GGGUAUUUUGCAUCACAAUGUUGUGUAACACUUGUAAUUAAGGUCUCGUGGAGACGUCUGCUUACUGAUCAUGUUGUUAAGGGCCUUAUAUCCACACGCGACCACACAUUGUUAUUCAGAUGUCCUUAGCUAAUUUUCUUUACUGCCUUCUGUCACAGUUUGUUCAUUAUAAGCUUGGGUAGGGAUUAUUUAUCUAUAUUCAACGGUUUCUUUCACACUGGCAGCUGCAAACUUUCUUGCCACAACUACACAACAGAACGUGGGCUUAAAAAAAGAUUCUGUCCGCUUAUAAGCUCGUCAAUUGACCAAAAGAGCUUCUGAGAGACAGCUGCGUUGAAUCGAUGCAUGAAAAGAAAUAAUGUCUUGGAAAUAUUGUUCUAUCAUAAUGUUAUAAAGCAUUCAUAUGAAACACAGCCAAUAUAAAAGAGCGACCUAUAGAUUUCAGGGCAAAAAAGAAAAAGCAAGAAGAAAGAAGGGAAAUGAAAAGGGAAAAAAAUGAAAAAAAUUACACUGAGAGAAAGAAAGCGUUUCGGGUGAAAAAAAACCCCCAGUGAGUGGGCCAUGUUUUGGUCGUAUUCUGCAGCUGUUUCCGUGUUCACUUGAUGAUGGUUGCAUUCCCUAUAAUUAAACAUAAUUUUCUGCAACCUUUAAACAGCAGUCUUCAGAAAAAAUAUCCAGAUGACCAGCUACUUUGAGUUCGUCUUUGUUGCUCAGAUCUCUCACGUCAGUGAAAGUUAGAAAAAAAAAAGAGAUACAAAUAAAAAGAACACUUCCCUCGCCGCACGGUGGGAGUUGCGCUUUGUAGAAAGCUAGUUUUCCUACUGGCUUUUUUCUUUCCUUUAAUGAAACUAAUUUGUUUAACAUAUUCUUUUCUUUUCUUUUGACAUAUUCUUUUAUAUUCUUAUAACCAUUUUAAAGCCUCUGUGUAUUUCAAUUGAGUUUACCCGGCGAUAAAUAUUGAAUAAUAGCGCGAGAAAAACGCGCCAGAAGUUCUAGAUUUUCCCCUCAAAUCAAACUGCGCGCUUUUUACGCAGAGCAAAACUUUCUUGUAUUCAGCGCCCUCUUGCGACGCUGGAGCUUGUUCCAUUAUGCGACAGAGGCGGAUAAUAGCCACGGAGAAUCGCCUUUGUUGCACAGCGCUUCAGCGGAAUACUGUGCUUGUACAAUAGUGAAAAUCGAUUCAAAUAUCGCAAUAGACUAAUUUUGCUGUAAUGAAAACUUAACUAUUUAAUAAUCAUGAUUUUAUAUUAACUUUAACGGUGAAACAAAAUAAUUAAAUGCCUAAUUAUACUGCACUGCAUAUAUACAUCGCCACAGCGAAUUCUUCCCCCGGGAUAGAGAGGAGAACAUUGUGAAGUGGACUAAAUGAAAAAUAUACAGUGUAUGGUUGCAUAAUAUUCAGUGAACAGCUACUUGUAGUAAGAUUUCAUAGCAUAAAGUCCUUCUUGUUCCAACACCGACUGAUGAAGCGAGUAGUUGUUGAAACAUAUUGACGACCGGGAAGGUUACUAUAAGAACAGGACCAAUAUGGCAAUUGAGAAGAGAACAGUCAAGCGUAUCAAACCCCAAGACUAGAAUCUCAAUGUUUCUUCGCGAAAGUCAAGCAAGAUUGAAUUAGGAUAUAAAAAAGAAUAAAUGCCGCAUGAUUUUGAUUAACCACCCAGUAACGCUCGUUUCGAGGGGUACGGAUUAUUGCUCACUCUGAGGGUGGAUCCAAGCGAUGAAUGCAUAAGAAUAGCGAAAUACAUGUUUCUACUGUUAAGAAUAAUUGCCCAAACUACAAUAUAUUGAAUCGCAACGCAGUCAAGCUAGGCCAGUGGUUCUCAACUAUGGUCCCUAUAAGAUUUUGGGGGUCCACACACGCAAAGUAGUAAUUUGGGGAUUCUCAGUAGUAUUUUAAGGGUCCAUGAAAACAGUUUUGCUUUAGGUGUAUUUUUUUGUAAGAAACAACUAGGUUUUUUUUUCUCUAACAUUUUACAUUUCUGUCUUUGAGGACAAAGAUGUAGCAAUAAUCUAAAGUAAACUUGGAAUCGGAAAACCUAUUGAAAACUUUUCCCAUUUAAUAGGAUCAUAGUGGGAGAAGAUUUUAAAAAGUAUGGCAGUAAACAACCUUUGUUUGUGGGUAUUAUGAAUAUGCUGCAAGAAGUAAGGUCCUUUUCGCUACCCUAAUAUUGUUUCUAAUUUAAGCCAACAAUUCUGAGAGGAGGGUGUUAGUCGAUACCAUUAAACCUCAUGCUAGACUGGUAUUCAUUUUAUUGGCCACGGAAAAAUGCAAACAAAGUUGAACUUGUGUCAAUUUAAACGCAGAAGGUAAAAAGUUGGAAUAAAUACUGGACUGCAUUCUAUCCAGCGCCCUACAGAUUCUGCCAAUCCAACAACCUUCACUACCCUAAUAUCGGUUUUAAAAUUUUGGCACAAGGGCAGCGAAUUGGGGAGAGGGUGUAAGUCGAUGAUAUCAACCUCAGAGCUCAAUUGGUACUUGCUUAAUCUACCCCGAAAGGCUGAAAGGUAAAGUCGACCCCGAUAGUAAUCACUACUUUAUGUUAGUUUCAAAUUUUGUCACAAGGCCAGCAGUUUCGGCAAGGGGAUUAACCGAUUACAUCGAUCCCAUUGUUCAACUAAUACUUAUUUUAUCGACUCCGAUAUGAUAGAAGACAAAGUCGACCCUGGAGGUACUCACUACUUUAAUAUUAAGAAGAACAAUGAGCAACAUAGAUAACAAAUAUCCAGCGUAUUCUUUCUGACUAGUUUGAUUUACUCUGCCUUUAGAACAGGACAAGUAGAAUGUUGGGAAUCAUCGAGUUAAUAGUUUAGUAUAAACACAUCACAGCUAAUGGCCAAAACUUCUAGAGUUAUGGUUUAGUGAGUUAUUUCGAACACUGAGAGAUCAGACUUGCUUCAGUAUGUUAAUAAUAUGAACUUAGAAAACCUACAUUUCAGUCUUUGAGGACAAAUGUAUGACAAUAAUCUGAAGUGAUCAAAUUGGAAAAUUAGAAAUAUGUCCAUGGAAUAUGUCCAAUGAAACGAGAAAAAUGGAAGCUGCAAGGUAAUUUAAGAUGAUUUCUUUGAUCAAGUCAGUUCCUUGACCUAAACUCAUAAAUUAAUGCCUAGUAGUAACCCCGUACGGCUGAAACUGGAAAACUAUUUAUGUAAAUAUUUUUUUAAAUAAUAGAAAAAAAAGUUACAUCAGAGGUGGCCAGAAAAACUCAAGCAACAGAUUUGCAACUCAUUAAUUCUAUGCCUAAACAUGUUCCUGACAUUCGGGUAGGCCCUAGCAAUGGCAAAAAUUUAUUCAUAUUUAAAAACAAAAUUGUUCAAGAUUUAUUU